RNAcentral lists this ribosomal RNA (413 nucleotides) under uncultured bacterium. RNAcentral describes it as "bacterial SSU rRNA". It matches the Rfam family "Bacterial small subunit ribosomal RNA", at positions 364 to 774 of the family's 1533-position model. The record is from RNAcentral.
UUGGACAAUGGAGGCAACUCUGAUCCAGCCAUGCCGCGUGAAGGAAUAAGGCCCUAUGGGUUGUAAACUUCUUUUAGACGGGACAAAACCCCUUUACGUGUAAAGGGUUGAUGGUACUGUCAGAAUAAGCAUCGGCUAACUUCGUGCCAGCAGCCGCGGUAAUACGAAGGAUGCAAGCGUUAUCCGGAAUUAUUGGGUUUAAAGGGUGCGUAGGCGGACUAAUAAGUCAGUGGUGAAAGCCUGCAGCUUAACUGCAGAAUUGCCAUUGAUACUGUUAGUCGUGAGUACAGUUGAGGUAGGCGGAAUGUGUCAUGUAGCGGUGAAAUGCUUAGAUAUGACACAGAACACCGAUUCCGAAGGCAGCUUGCUAAGCUGUAACUGACGCUGAGGCACGAAAGCGUGGGGAGCAAACA